RNAcentral lists this transfer RNA (73 nucleotides) under Nanobdellota archaeon. RNAcentral's name for it is "tRNA-Val". It matches the Rfam family "tRNA". From Rfam's summary of the family: Transfer RNA (tRNA) molecules are approximately 80 nucleotides in length. Their secondary structure includes four short double-helical elements and three loops (D, anti-codon, and T loops). The record is from RNAcentral. RNAcentral also lists the same sequence under 1 other name. Lineage: Archaea; Nanobdellati; Nanobdellota.
GGGCCUGUAGUUCAGCGGCUAGAACGUUGCCCUCACAUGGCAAAGGUCACCGGUUCGAUUCCGGUCAGGCCCA